GAGUUUGAUUCUGGCUCAGGAUGAACGCUAGCGGCAGGCCUAACACAUGCAAGUCGAGGGGUAAGGAGAGCUUGCUCUCCCUAGACCGGCGUACGGGUGCGUAACACGUGUACAAUCUACCUUUUACUAAGGGAUAGCCCGAAGAAAUUUGGAUUAAUACCUUAUAGUAUUAUUUUAUGGCAUCAUUAAAUAAUUAAAGCUACGGUGGUAAAAGAUGAGUACGCGUCCCAUUAGCUAGUUGGAGUGGUAACGGCACACCAAGGCUACGAUGGGUAGGGGUUCUGAGAGGGAUGUCCCCCACACUGGUACUGAGACACGGACCAGACUCCUACGGGAGGCAGCAGUGAGGAAUAUUGGACAAUGGUCGGAAGACUGAUCCAGCCAUGCCGCGUGCAGGAUGACGGCCUUAUGGGUUGUAAACUGCUUUUAUACAGGAAGAAUAAGGUCUACGAGUAGAUUGAGGGACGGUACUGUAUGAAUAAGCNU
This 486-nucleotide ribosomal RNA is filed under the name Capnocytophaga sp. canine oral taxon 295. RNAcentral's name for it is "bacterial SSU rRNA". It matches the Rfam family "Bacterial small subunit ribosomal RNA", at positions 9 to 493 of the family's 1533-position model. The record is from RNAcentral. Lineage: Bacteria; Pseudomonadati; Bacteroidota; Flavobacteriia; Flavobacteriales; Flavobacteriaceae.